RNAcentral lists this ribosomal RNA (479 nucleotides) under Veillonella parvula. RNAcentral's name for it is "bacterial SSU rRNA". It matches the Rfam family "Bacterial small subunit ribosomal RNA", at positions 28 to 476 of the family's 1533-position model. Lineage: Bacteria; Bacillati; Bacillota; Negativicutes; Veillonellales; Veillonellaceae. The record is from RNAcentral.
GACGAACGCUGGCGGCGUGCUUAACACAUGCAAGUCGAACGAAGAGCGAUGGAAGCUUGCUUCUAUCAAUCUUAGUGGCGAACGGGUGAGUAACGCGUAAUCAACCUGCCCUUCAGAGGGGGACAACAGUUGGAAACGACUGCUAAUACCGCAUACGAUCUAAUCUCGGCAUCGAGGAUAGAUGAAAGGUGGCCUCUACAUGUAAGCUAUCACUGAAGGAGGGGAUUGCGUCUGAUUAGCUAGUUGGAGGGGUAACGGCCCACCAAGGCGAUGAUCAGUAGCCGGUCUGAGAGGAUGAACGGCCACAUUGGGACUGAGACACGGCCCAGACUCCUACGGGAGGCAGCAGUGGGGAAUCUUCCGCAAUGGACGAAAGUCUGACGGAGCAACGCCGCGUGAGUGAUGACGGCCUUCGGGUUGUAAAGCUCUGUUAAUCGGGACGAAAGGCCUUCUUGCGGAUAGUGAGAAGGAUUGACGGU